UGGAGCAUGUGGUUUAAUUCGAUGCAACGCGAAGAACCUUACCUGGUCUUGACAUCCACAGAACUUGGCAGAGAUGCCUUGGUGCCUUCGGGAACUGUGAGACAGGUGCUGCAUGGCUGUCGUCAGCUCGUGUUGUGAAAUGUGGGUUAAGUCCCGCAACGAGCGCAACCUUAUCCUUGUUGCCAGCGGUUCGGCCGGGAACUCAAAGGAGACUGCCAGUGAUAAACUGGAGGAAGGUGGGGAUGACGUCAAGUCAUCAUGGCCCUUACGAGUAGGGCUACACACGUGCUACAAUGGCAUAUACAAAGAGAAGCGACCUCGCGAGAGCAAGCGGACCUCAUAAAGUAUGUCGUAGUCCGGAUUGGAGUCUGCAACUCGACUCCAUGAAGUCGGAAUCGCUAGUAAUCGUGGAUCAGAAUGCCACGGUGAAUACGUUCCCGGGCCUU
RNAcentral lists this ribosomal RNA (446 nucleotides) under uncultured Enterobacteriaceae bacterium. Its description in RNAcentral is "bacterial SSU rRNA". It matches the Rfam family "Bacterial small subunit ribosomal RNA", at positions 933 to 1382 of the family's 1533-position model. Lineage: Bacteria; Pseudomonadati; Pseudomonadota; Gammaproteobacteria; Enterobacterales; Enterobacteriaceae. The record is from RNAcentral.